Long non-coding RNA from Hippoglossus stenolepis (Pacific halibut), 2686 nucleotides. RefSeq lists it as uncharacterized. The record is from RefSeq and is a predicted model, not a curated record. NCBI's taxonomy places the organism in Eukaryota, Metazoa, Chordata, Actinopteri, Pleuronectiformes, Pleuronectidae. The transcript has 3 exons.
CUCUCGCUCCACUCACAUCUUCAGUCUUGCUGUCCUGCUCCUGCAGCGCUUUCUGGAGCUCCUCGAUCUGAGAACGCAGCUCUGAGAUCUGCUGCUGGUUCAACCUGGAAAACAGACGAGGAGAGGGAAGGGACACGGAGACAGAUUAGGAAGAGAAAGAGCAUAAAAGCAACACGGUGGAGAGAGAUGGUUGAAGAUAAACAUGAGAGAAGGUGAAAUGUAAUGUUGUUGAGAUGCGUCUCUCUCUGCCCGGCCAGUCCCUGCUUGGCUCUACUGAGCAUGCUCCCUCCCCUCCUCUCCUCCUGUUACUGUUGCUGAGGAUGCUUCCCACACCCUGGGCCUGGUGUUGUAAUACACACGCAAAGUCCACCCACAUGUCCACAUGCCCACCGGCAUGUAAACACACACAUAUACACACAGUCAAGGGACAAUCUGGCUUUCUGCUGUCCGUCCUCCAGUGCAGCCCACACAGCUCCGCUGAGCACACAGUCCAGAGGGGUGUUCCUGCUGCGCUGAGCCUCCUCCAGCUCGGCCUGCACCUCCACCAGCUUCUGCCUGUACGACUCCUCCUGGACGCACAGCAUCUUGUUUUCACUCUGCAGACGCACCACCGUCUCCCUGCCGCAGACCGAGCGCUGUUACAACUCACCAGCUCCACUGAGACCCCUCUGUUGGACCUGUGCACACCUCAGCUCGUCGUUCGUCUCCCGGAGCGUGUCCCUCUCCGAGAUCAGACGCUGAGGAAACCAAGCACAACACGAACACGUCUCACUUUGGUUUGUACGUUAAGAGAAUUGAACUAAAAUCACACUUGAAGCGGAUUACCCCCCCGAGAGUCAUUUCAGAAUUGAUUUGAAGAUAUUGUUAAUUUCUCUCUUUCUUUUAUUGCCUUGUGAAUCAGAUUUCAUAAAAGUGGAUUCUUGUAAAACCCAUUUCUUUAUUAGUCUUAAUUAUUUUAUUCCAUUUUAUUUAAUUUGUUUUAAUAAUGAUUGGUUAACAUUUCAACAGUGCUUUUUGCUUAUAUCAAUUCAUCUUGUGAAGAACUUUGCUAAUUUGUUUUGAAAAUUGCUCCAUAAAUAGUUUAUUACUAUUAUUUAUUUGUUUACGAUUCACUUUACAACAUAUUCCAGGAUCCUGCUCCAGGGAUCCAGACGUGGACACUGUUUUGAUGCGAGUACGGAUGAAGUGAAUGUAAAGGCGGAUAUGUCAGUACACGUCGGUACAGUGUGUAUUUCUUAAUUACUCCCACAAGUAAGCGAGGACAUUAAUCACUGCUGUCAGAUUGCAGAAGGUGCUAGAACUGACACUGGACGUGGGAGUCCACUGAAGAAUAGUACGAUAUUUGCCUGGCAACAGCUCCUCCAGGCAGCAGCGUGCGUACUGUAAUCAUCACAACAAGACCUAGUGUAUGUCUGGACCUGGUGAACCUGGUGAAGCCGAGGACGCAAUCGAAAAACUCGUGUGAGCUUUGUAAACAGCAACUUCCAAAAGUGAGGAAAGUAGCUAAAGCUGGAAAUGUCUCGGAAGGUCAGCAGAUGAUGCAAAAUACAAUAAUCGGCGAAUAAUCGGAACAAAUAGAAUAAUGAAAUGCAUCGAACUCAAUGUGGAAGGUUUCUGUGCGUGACGAUUUUUAUUAAAUGACGGAUUAAGAUCUUUAGGCUUCAUGUCAACCAGCAGUUUCCAAGCUGCACCACACAAUUUGUUGUCGGCCAGAAGUUCUAGAUUUGCUGCUUGAUGCUUUAAAAAAAGUCACUAAAGGGUCUCAGGCUAUCGAAGAUGCUAAAUUGGUCAACAACUGUUAUCUCUAAGGACGACCUUGCUGUUGUGCUCUCACCAACAAAUGGAGAUCCACACAAGGAGAUUGAAAUAAAAACCAAAUCACUGCUUGUGAAGUAAAAGCGGCACGAGCACGUUUUUUCCUCCCAUUCACAACUUAACUUUUACUUCCUGACGUUCUUCCAACUCACUUCUUUCUCUUUCAGCUGUGCGUCAUACUUGUCGUGAAGGUUCUUGUACUCAAACUGCCACUUCUCAGCUUUCAUGGCCUCCGCGGAGUGCUUGGUGUGAAGCUCAUGAACCUGCAAGUCAGAGAGCAUAGCAACAGUCUGUGUUGGCAAGAGCGCUCUAUAAAAACUGCAAACUUUUCCACAACACGUGCCGAAGCCAAGUGAUGUGUUCAACUUGGAGAUCAACACAAGGAGCAAGCCUCGCUCUCCUUGCCUGUCGCUUGUAGAUGUCCAGCUGGUUGCGGACGGCGUUCGCUCGGCGGAGCUCCUCCUCCAGCUCGCAGGUGCGCUGCAUGUACACGGUGUUGCGCUCCUCCAGGAGGCGCACCUGUCUGCGCAGGUCUCCCAGAUCCUCCAGCUUCCUCUUGUACGUCUCCACCAGCGCUUCGAGCUGGUUCACCCGGUCCGACGAAUGCCUGAGGGGGGGGAAGAUGUGUAGGAAGUGUUGAGCGCCGACACAGGAAUAUGACUUUUAGUCAAACACAAUACAUCCGUGUGGUUAUGUACUUAACUGCUGAAAAGCAACGACUGACGCAAGCCAGCGUCAAUGCAUAAAAUUCAUAUUAUCAACACAGAUGUCAGAGAGAGGAGCUAAUGGACGUCUGUGUGUGGGCAGUGUGGGAGUUGUUUCUGUGAGUGUAAAACGAUAAUAAAUGAACUGCUGCUUGUGAUAACCUCCA